CCUCCAUUGUUUAAAUUAGCACAGUGUGAAAACUGAAGAGAGCUUGAACUAAUGAAAUGGAGGUAGAAAUUUAUUGGGGUUUUGUUAUUGACACAAAAUGCAGAGAUCCGAAGAUUUUGGGGUCAAUUUCGAUGAGAUGGAGGUGGAGGGUUUGUAUGAGAGAGUCUAGAGAGUUCCAGUAGAAAAAUAGAAGAUUGAGUGGGAGGGGAGCGAGGGGAGCGGUUAGGAAGAACUUGUUAAGUUGGUUAAUCGGCGAAUGGACUGUUAAUACGUAUGUGAGAUUAUAUGUAUAUCAGUAUUCUAUUCGUCAAUUGAUUAAUUUAUAAAAAAAAAAAAAAUUAUGAUAAUCGGAUCCGACUGGAAGAUUUUAUUCUAGACACUUCAAAUUUUAGUUGUUUUAAGAGGAGGAUGAUUCUAGAC
This 420-nucleotide long non-coding RNA is filed under the name Panax ginseng (ginseng). Its description in RNAcentral is "long non-coding RNA (PGIN_LNC012127)". Lineage: Eukaryota; Viridiplantae; Streptophyta; Magnoliopsida; Apiales; Araliaceae. The record is from RNAcentral.